Molecule: long non-coding RNA, 657 nt
Organism: Saccostrea echinata
Lineage: Eukaryota; Metazoa; Mollusca; Bivalvia; Ostreida; Ostreidae
Exons: 3
Source: RefSeq, a predicted model, not a curated record
AUGACACAAUUACUGAAUUUGGUAGGAUAAAGGCAUGAAACAGGCGCCUUGCCAGUACAUUUGUUCCUUCUAUUCCUGAUUGUUUGAUUUUCCUGAGGUAAAUAAACCAAGAACUACCCAGAAAAAGAUCAAUGAUUUGCGAAGGAACACUUACUGGUAAAUCCGCUUACAACCACGAAUAUUCAUUUAAAAAAAGACUUUGAUUUGGGAAGUAUCAGUACUCCUUCAAAAAUUGAAAAUCAAUCGGGAGCUGAGAAAACAUGGAACUCAAAUAACAUCAGAGGUGGGAUCAGGGACCAUGGAGGAAUGAGCAUCACCUGCUGACCAGUCACACCCGCCGUGUACUCUUUGUCAUGAUCGGGAAAACGGAAAAACGGUAGACAAUUCAGUGUGCAAAUAAUAGCCCAACGAUUGAAUUUAGUGCGAAAUUGCCAUUUCUACAGGAAGGAAAAGGUGACAAGGAGCUCAAGGCGAGUGUGAUCGGUCGACAAGGGAUGUUUACUCCUCCAUGUCAUCUGAUCGCACCUCUGGUGUUUUUAGAGGUCCUUGUUUGUCUACUCCCAAUUUGUUUUCUUCCAAUGAACUUUUCAGCUUGAUUACCAUUCGAUCCAUUCAUAUUUUAUUUGUUUUAUGUUUAAUAAAAAUAAUUUAGGUCAA